GAGUGGCGAACGGGUGAGUAACACGUGGGAAACCUACCUCUUAGCGGGGGAUAACAUCUGGAAACAGAUGCUAAUACCGCAUAACACUAGCAACCGCAUGGUUGCUACUUGAAAGAUGGUUCUGCUAUCACUAAGAGAUGGUCCCGCGGCGCAUUAGUUAGUUGGUGAGGUAAUGGCUCACCAAGACGAUGAUGCGUAGCCGAGUUGAGAGACUGAUCGGCCACAAUGGGACUGAGACACGGCCCAUACUCCUACGGGAGGCAGCAGUAGGGAAUCUUCCACAAUGGACGAAAGUCUGAUGGAGCAACGCCGCGUGUGUGAUGAAGGGUUUCGGCUCGUAAAACACUGUUGUAAGAGAAGAAUAGCAUCAAGAGUAACUGCUUGGUGUGUGACGGUAUCUUACCAGAAAGGAACGGCUAAAUACGUGCCAGCAGCCGCGGUAAUACGUAUGUUCCAAGCGUUAUCCGGAUUUAUUGGGCGUAAAGCGAGCGCAGACGGUUUUUUAAGUCCGAAGUGAAAGCCCACAGCUUAACUGUGGAAGUGCUUUGGAAACUGGAUGACUUGAGUGCAGUAGAGGAGAGUGGAAUUCCAUGUGUAGCGGUGAAAUGCGUAGAUAUAUGGAGGAACACCAGUGGCGAAAGCGGCUCUCUGGACUGUAACUGACGUUGAGGCUCGAAAGUGUGGGUAGCAAACAGGAUUAGAUACCCUGGUAG
This 713-nucleotide ribosomal RNA is filed under the name Weissella sp. WS-72. RNAcentral describes it as "bacterial SSU rRNA". It matches the Rfam family "Bacterial small subunit ribosomal RNA", at positions 93 to 793 of the family's 1533-position model. The record is from RNAcentral. Lineage: Bacteria; Bacillati; Bacillota; Bacilli; Lactobacillales; Lactobacillaceae.